GGGCUCUGACCUGAGACCUCUGGGUUCUGAGCUGUGAUGUUGCUCUCGAGCUGGGAUCUCCGGGGUCUUGGUUCAGGGCCG
MicroRNA precursor from Pan troglodytes (chimpanzee), 81 nucleotides. It matches the Rfam family "mir-769 microRNA precursor family". Lineage: Eukaryota; Metazoa; Chordata; Mammalia; Primates; Hominidae. The record is from Rfam.